Long non-coding RNA from Salvelinus sp. IW2-2015, 831 nucleotides. RefSeq lists it as uncharacterized. The record is from RefSeq and is a predicted model, not a curated record. NCBI's taxonomy places the organism in Eukaryota, Metazoa, Chordata, Actinopteri, Salmoniformes, Salmonidae.
CAGACCCGAAUACAUUCAAGCUGCACUCUGAGAGCAAGCAUCCCACGUCUCCAAUGGUCCCAGUACUGGUUGAUGUUCAAGCCUAAGUGAUCACACGCACUCAAAUGGACCUACAGCGGGGACACACGAUGACCACGAUUUGAAUGCUGCAACUGAGACAGAAUGACAUCGAGGGAUAUACGCUGAGACCCCGAGUAUGGCUGGACAUGGAAUGAAUAUUUGUGACAAUGACCUAAAAGGUGUGCAGAAGCACACCAGCACCCCAUUUUAUAUGUAUUACAUGUCCAACCAUCCCUCUAGCUACCCCUUAUUCCACACUAUGCCUUUUAUGCCCCAUGGUCCCUCAACUUCGGACACUUUGGAACGCGCCAUCUUAUCUCUAUAAACACACCCUACCUUCACCCAUUUUUUUUUUCUUCUCCCCAUGCUGCUUCCUUCACUUGUUCUUCUCCUAGUUUGAUAACAUCUAGACUCAGUACCACGUUUAAGUGUUGUGGUGUACUGUUUUGGCUACUUUUUUCCCACCUGUGUAAUGCUGCCCUCCUGCUUAUUCUUGGGUCCAGACUGAAAAGGGGUUGUGUUAAAAUUGGGAGGACAUUUCGGYUGAAUGCUUUCAGUUAUGCAACUGACUAGGUAUCCCCUUUCCGUUCCCCUUGAAUGCAGUGUUAAUAAAUGUGCUGCUCACAAUUGUCAGCAGCAAUGUGGACAGUGUUAAAUUGACCAGAAAGGUGUUGAUAUAGCUGCAUUUAGGCAUGGCCUAAAUCUGUUAAGUGUUUCUCAUUCUGCUAGAGUUAACUUUGUAUUUUAUAUUAAACCUACCUUACACAUCCA